RNAcentral lists this unclassified non-coding RNA (404 nucleotides) under soil metagenome. RNAcentral's name for it is "partial contains 5.8S ribosomal RNA, internal transcribed spacer 2, and large subunit ribosomal RNA". The stretch from base 1 to 121 matches the Rfam family "5.8S ribosomal RNA", at positions 35 to 154 of the family's 154-position model. The record is from RNAcentral.
GAUGAAGAACGUAGCGAAAUGCGAUAAGUAAUGUGAAUUGCAGAAUUCAGUGAAUCAUCGAAUCUUUGAACGCACCUUGCGCCCUUUGGCCAUUCCGAAGGGCAUGCCUGUUUGAGUAUCAUGAACACCUCAACUCUUUAUGGUUUUCCAUGAUGAGCUUGGACUCUGGGGGUUUUGCUGGCUCACAGUCGGCUCCUCUAAAAUGAAUCAGCUUCCAGUGUUUGGUGGGUAUCAUGGGUGUGAUAACUAUCUACGCUUGUGGUUUUUCCACCAGGUAACCUUCAGCAGUGGAGGUUCGCUGGAGCUCAUAGAUGUCUCUCCUCAGUGAGGACAGCCCUUUGAAUGUUUGAUCUCAAAUCAGGUAGGACUACCCGCUGAACUUAAGCAUAUCAAUAAGCGGAGGA